UACAGAGGUGGCAAGCGUUGCUCGGUAUCACUGGGCUUAAAGGGCGCGUAGGCGGCGUGGUACGGUUUGGGUGAAAUCCCUCGGCUUAACCGAGGAACUGCCCAGGCUACGGCCACGCUUGAUGACGUCAGGGGAAGAUGGAACUCCCGGUGGAGCGGUGAAAUGUGUAGAUAUCGGGAGGAACGCCGGUGGCGAAAGCG
This 200-nucleotide ribosomal RNA is filed under the name uncultured bacterium. RNAcentral's name for it is "partial 16S ribosomal RNA". It matches the Rfam family "Bacterial small subunit ribosomal RNA", at positions 524 to 723 of the family's 1533-position model. The record is from RNAcentral.